RNAcentral lists this transfer RNA (67 nucleotides) under Blattisocius tarsalis. RNAcentral's name for it is "tRNA-Trp". Lineage: Eukaryota; Metazoa; Arthropoda; Arachnida; Mesostigmata; Blattisociidae. The record is from RNAcentral.
UAAGAUUUUAAGUUAAAAAAACUAUAUGCCUUCAAAUCAUAACUUAUAUAUUAUAUUUAAAUCUUAU